UGAUGAUGGUGAGGGCAAUUUUUAAGCAUACCCUUAAGACUCUCCCAAGCUUAGUAGAGAUUCUCUCUUUCUUUCUGUCUGAAACUUAGGAUCUCACUUCUCAAGCG
RNAcentral lists this small nucleolar RNA (107 nucleotides) under Capsicum annuum. Its description in RNAcentral is "Plant small nucleolar RNA R71". It matches the Rfam family "Plant small nucleolar RNA R71". Rfam says of the family: R71 is a member of the C/D box family of snoRNAs containing the C (UGAUGA) and D (CUGA) box motifs. Multiple nearly identical copies of this snoRNA have been identified in Arabidopsis, and it is thought to function as a 2'-O-ribose methylation guide for 18S ribosomal RNA. The record is from Rfam by way of RNAcentral. Lineage: Eukaryota; Viridiplantae; Streptophyta; Magnoliopsida; Solanales; Solanaceae.